Molecule: transfer RNA, 75 nt
Filed under: Pseudomonadota bacterium
Lineage: Bacteria; Pseudomonadati; Pseudomonadota
Description: Proteobacteria bacterium (freshwater metagenome) tRNA-Lys
Rfam family: tRNA
About the family: Transfer RNA (tRNA) molecules are approximately 80 nucleotides in length. Their secondary structure includes four short double-helical elements and three loops (D, anti-codon, and T loops).
Source: RNAcentral
GGGCCGGUAGCUCAACGGUAGAGCAACGGACUUUUAAUCCGUUGGUUGUGGGUUCGAAACCCACCCGGCCCACCG